Long non-coding RNA from Cygnus olor (mute swan), 533 nucleotides. RefSeq lists it as uncharacterized. NCBI's taxonomy places the organism in Eukaryota, Metazoa, Chordata, Aves, Anseriformes, Anatidae. The record is from RefSeq and is a predicted model, not a curated record. The transcript has 3 exons.
UGCAUCUCCAAACAACUGAGCUGCUUUAUUUUCAGUUGUAGCAGUGGAAAAAUGUGCAAACUUAUUUCCAUUUGAUCAUGUCCUUGAAAAAAGUCUCCCAGGAAACACCAAAGACCAUUACCAUUGAAAGCAGAAACACGACAAACUGAGCAUGUGUAACCUGAACCACUUUCUUACAACCCAUCACGAGGCGCAGCAUCAGUUGAACAUAGAGUUUAAUGUUUUCCACUAGACUAGUGGAUGGAAGAGGUUCCAAAAUCUGUACCAAAAAAAGAAGAAACAAGAACCAAAUUCAGUUGAAACGUAAGAGAUGCAGUUUCACCGAAGUUAGGAAUGAAACCUACUUUCCCAUUUAUUUAGCCAAUAUAUACCAGCUAAGGCUUAGCACAAAAGCAUGCAUAGCUGGAUGAUUGGGCAAAAUUACCCAUCCGUAUUAUCUAUUCUCAGACCUAAAGUCCUAUGAAAAACUAUGCCUAAUUUAUGGCUGUUUCUUCUCCCCUUCUACUACUAAUAUUUCCACAUAGUACUCUGUU